Molecule: ribosomal RNA, 91 nt
Filed under: Psychromonas algarum
Lineage: Bacteria; Pseudomonadati; Pseudomonadota; Gammaproteobacteria; Alteromonadales; Psychromonadaceae
Description: Psychromonas sp. RZ22 partial 23S ribosomal RNA
Source: RNAcentral
CGUUGAUAGGCAAGGUGUGUAAGUGCAGUAAUGUAUUGAGCUAACUUGUACUAAUUACCCGUGAGGCUUAACCAUACAACACCUAAGUAGU